CAAUAGCGUAUAUUAAAGUUGUUGCAGUUAAAAAGCUCGUAGUUGGAUUUCGGGGCAGCCUGGCUGGUCCGCCGCAAGGCGAGUACUGGUCAGCCGCCCUUCCUCUCGAAAGCCCCGACUGCUCUUUAUUGCAGUGGUCGGGUAGUUCGGGACGUUUACUUUGAAAAAAUUAGAGUGUUCAAGGCGGGCCUACGCCUGAAUACAUUAGCAUGGAAUAAUGGAAGAGGACCUCGGUCCUAUUUUGUUGGUUUCCAGGACCGAAGUAAUGAUUAAGAGGGACAGUUGGGGGCAUUCGUAUUUAAUUGUCAGAGGUGAAAUUCUAGGAUUUAUGAAAGACGAACAACUGCGAAAGCAUUUGCCAAGGAUGUUUUCAUUAA
This 377-nucleotide ribosomal RNA is filed under the name uncultured eukaryote. RNAcentral's name for it is "partial 18S ribosomal RNA". It matches the Rfam family "Eukaryotic small subunit ribosomal RNA", at positions 592 to 976 of the family's 1831-position model. The record is from RNAcentral.